GGGCCCAUAGCUCAGUCGGCAGAGCAGCGGACUCAUAAUCCGCGUGUCGCAGGUUCGAGUCCUGCUGGGCCCACCA
RNAcentral lists this transfer RNA (76 nucleotides) under Actinobacteria bacterium RBG_19FT_COMBO_54_7. RNAcentral's name for it is "tRNA-Met". It matches the Rfam family "tRNA". Rfam says of the family: Transfer RNA (tRNA) molecules are approximately 80 nucleotides in length. Their secondary structure includes four short double-helical elements and three loops (D, anti-codon, and T loops). Further hydrogen bonds mediate the characteristic L-shaped molecular structure. tRNAs have two regions of fundamental functional importance: the anti-codon, which is responsible for specific mRNA codon recognition, and the 3' end, to which the tRNAs corresponding amino acid is attached (by aminoacyl-tRNA synthetases). tRNAs cope with the degeneracy of the genetic code in two manners: having more than one tRNA (with a specific anti-codon) for a particular amino acid; and 'wobble' base-pairing, i.e. permitting non-standard base-pairing at the 3rd anti-codon position. Lineage: Bacteria; Bacillati; Actinomycetota. The record is from RNAcentral. RNAcentral also lists the same sequence under 2 other names.